RNAcentral lists this unclassified non-coding RNA (647 nucleotides) under uncultured Prochlorococcus sp. Its description in RNAcentral is "partial 16S-23S ribosomal RNA intergenic spacer; may also contain 16S ribosomal RNA and 23S ribosomal RNA". The stretch from base 305 to 377 matches the Rfam family "tRNA". Lineage: Bacteria; Bacillati; Cyanobacteriota; Cyanophyceae; Synechococcales; Prochlorococcaceae. The record is from RNAcentral.
UUGUGGAGGAGGACGCCGAAGGUGGGGCUAAUGACUGGGGUGAAGUCGUAACAAGGUAGCCGUACCGGAAGGUGCGGCUGGAUCACCUCCUAACAGGGAGACAACAAAAUGUUUAAUAUUAUUAUUUUGUCACCUUAGGUCGAUCGGUAUCUCACGUUCUUAAUUUAUUAAGAAUUUCAUUUCCUAAGUUUUUCUAGGUCACACCCAUUAUUUUUCCUGGGCCAUUAGCUCAGGUGGUUAGAGCGCACCCCUGAUAAGGGUGAGGUCCCUGGUUCAAGUCCAGGAUGGCCCAUAUCUCUAUGUUGGGGGUAUAGCUCAGUUGGUAGAGCGCCUGCUUUGCAAGCAGGAUGUCAGCGGUUCGAGUCCGCUUACCUCCACUGAUUACCACCUCUUCCAUAAUCUGUAGAAAGGAAAUGUUUUGAGUUGUGAUCAAAUUCUGAACGAAUCUAGCUUCCUAAUGAAACCAUUAAGAUGCUGGACUCAUUGAAUAAAUUUCAUUGUUUUCAGAGAACCUUGACAACUGCAUAGAUUAUUAUUAAAGACAAUAAGCAUCUUUUAAUGAUGCAGAUUUAUUAUUUGUGCGAAUGCAUUAAUAACAAUUCUAUUAAGCUGAUGCUUCAAUUUUGAAGUUAUUGGUCAAGCUACAA